AAUUACCUACGGGACGCAGCAGUGGGGAAUAUUGCACAAUGGGGGAAACCCUGAUCCAGCAACGCCGCGUGAGUGAAGAAGUAUUUCGGUAUGUAAAGCUCUAUCAGCAGGGAAGAAGAAAGACGGUACCUGACUAAGAAGCCCCGGCUAACUACGUGCCAGCAGCCGCGGUAAUACGUAGGGGGCAAGCGUUAUCCGGAUUUACUGGGUGUAAAGGGUGCGUAGACGGCAUAGCAAGUCUGAAGUGGAAGCCCGAGGCUCAACCGCGGAACUGCUUUGGAAACUGUUAAGCUGGAGUACUGGAG
Molecule: ribosomal RNA, 305 nt
Filed under: uncultured bacterium
Lineage: Bacteria
Description: bacterial SSU rRNA
Rfam family: Bacterial small subunit ribosomal RNA
Source: RNAcentral